Molecule: long non-coding RNA, 1314 nt
Organism: Canis lupus familiaris (dog)
Lineage: Eukaryota; Metazoa; Chordata; Mammalia; Carnivora; Canidae
Exons: 5
Source: RefSeq, a predicted model, not a curated record
CAUAAUCUUGUGGGCUGUGUGGUUAGGAUGAGAGGACUUGCAGUAAGGAAGACAAAGGACAGCCCUGACAUGCUACCUUCCCCUUUGAGUUUUGAGAAAAGGAAGAAAAUAAUUAUGAGAAUUAAGCUAUAAAUAGGACUGUGUUUUGCUGACCACUGUCUGUCUAGGAUAUAGAAAGAAAGCCUGUUCCAUAUGUACUCUUUCUGAUAAUAUGGAAAGCAAGAUAAUUCAGCUGUGAAAACAAGCGAAAUUUCUUCUAAUAUAGAACAGCUGAGUGCUUCACUGUCCUUACAAAAGAAUCCACUCCUGUAGCCACAGCUACCACAUGUGAUGGAAGGAAUCCAAGUUAAACACUCUCACCAGAGCAUGCUCCAAGACAGAUGACUGGGCCUCAGGCUUGGCCAAUACAAUGCACUUCUAUUCUCUAUUUAUUUUUGUAGUUCAAAGACCUGGCAGUAACCAAGUUGAUGCCUGCCACAAGGACCAGUGCACUCCUGAUUACUGCCCAGUGACUUUUAUAACUAUACGCCAGCUACUCAGAUAGACCACGUAUAAAGAGUAGGGGGAUUUUUUGGAAGGAAAAGAAACCCCAGCUUCCACUUAAGCUUUGAAAUUUCAGAUGAUGUACUGCCAACUUACAGACCUUGCUUUAAUCAGAGCAGCCACAUGAAAAGGCUGUUUCUAUUUACCCUAGGUCAUUUAGGAAACCAGUGAUAAGUAGGCCGUGCAAAAUUUCAACUUCUCUUAAAGUUGGCGUGUUCUCCUCAACUAGAGUUGAGUCUUGAUUUCAUUUUCUGAGUAGAAAUAUUUACAACCCUGUCAAACAUGAGUUUUAGCCUUCCUUCUGUCUAUGGGCUUUUUAAAGAAUGGGCUUUUUAAAAAAUGCUUUUUAAAGAAUGCUUAGGGUUAAUGUGAAGUUUUCUAACAGUGGGCCCAUGUAGAUUUAAAUAAUGACUAAACUGCUUCACUGGUCUGGUUCAAGUUUCAUCAGAGACUGACUUUAGCUAGAAAAAAAAUAACAUUCUAUUUUAGUUUUGAAUUGUAUAUUUAUGUAAUAAAAAAGUAAUCCUGCAGAACCUAAAUUAACAACCAUAAUAUUCAGGAAUUCAACGUUAUAAAGGAAAAAGGCUUAGGAUACCAAUUUAUUCUUUGGUAUACAAUGAUUCCUUUGGUUGUUUAUAAUAUUUUGAUUAUCUUUAUCAUUAGUAUAGUCCUUGAUAUUGUGAUAUCCUGGAUAUUUUGUUAUCAAAAUAUAAACAGAAGUUCCCUUUCUCAAUUAUUUAGUCAAUAUUGUACUACUUAACACUGUAAGCU